CCACUCUACCCACACUCUCCUCUCGUGCUCCCUCUGGGCACGAGCAGUGCAUCUAUGUGCACAAGGGGAAGAAGUGAUGAUGUGGCAUUGAAGGAGGAGUAAAGCUGGAGCCAUUUCUGUAAUAUAUAUUCUCGUGUACAAGGUAAAAUCUCGCCAGUAAUAAAUGGACCUUCCAAUUGUGACCAUCUCUUCUUCCAUCUACUAAUUGUUGGUCGGCACUCAUCCUCCCAUCGCAUCCAGCACCUCUCAUCUUUCCAUAGUCGUCGUGGUCAUCAAUUUCAUAAAUAUUGGGUCAUCCGCAACAUCCAGGGAGGGCUGAGUCGGGGUCACAGAAAAGCGUUUCGUGAAAGGUGGUCCCAUUCAGUCGACAGUAUAAUUUUGGAGAAAACGAUCUAUCGCAGAAUCCCUCAAGGUCAACCACGAAAUUGGAGGUCAAUUGGUUCCCUACAUAUAUAAAAGUAGAUUACGCAGUCAAAACGUUACAGAGAUGAGUUUUCCAUUCGGGUGAAUGUCUUAUGACAAAACUCCUAUGUCGGGUCGUGCUCCUAAGAAACUCUGCGUAAUAUAUUGUCUACAUCAAAUUAAUCGUCUUAAUUGGAAUUUAGUAUAAAUUCGAUCACCACAACGUCAUCAGCAAGUCAUCGAGUCUCAUCGUCUUAAAAUUCGCUGCAAUAAAAAUCGUCGCUGGAUUUUCGUCAAUCAUAUUCAUCACUUGGAUUUCGUCAUCAAAUGCAAAUCUUCUAGAAUAUUUAAAAUGGUACGUAAGGAAAAGUAAUGUCUCGUAAAUGUUGAAUUUAAUGUGAUGAUCGUAUUAUUUUGAUUCGUAAUUUGUAACAGAUUUUUUUUUCGUAUUGGUUAAUUUUUAUGUAUGUAAUUGGUACAAUAAGUCGUUACUUCACAAAUUUCGUUAAAAUGUAUUUUCGUAAUUGAUAUGUACACAGUAGAACAUGAUUUUGAUAAUUUGAGAACGAAUAGGUAAAUAUUUAUUGAAUGGUUCAGUCGCAAUUGAAUUUUUAAUGUAUUUUGUCUCGUAAAUAGAGUUCAAAUUUUGUCUUAAGAAUUUCAUAUUCAGCAAGUAAAAAGUUUUCAGUUUUUGAUAUUUUCACACGAGUUUAUUAUAAGAAAUGUUUGAUUAUUGGUUUUAAAGAGCAAAAUUAAGUUUUAUAUGAUAUUUUGAAAGACUUUAAAAGAAAAGAGAAAGGCUUAAAUAGGAAAAUAUUCGUACUAUUUGCUAAAAUGUACUUAAUUUGGUUAGAUUGUCAAAAUAUUAAUUUGUCAUUCACAGUAAAAUUUGAUAAAAUAUUGUCUGAGAGUCAUGAUUAUAGUACAAUUAUAAUCUAGAAAAUAUGAUUUAUAAUAUUCAAGAUGAUCCUAAUCAAUUAAAGGUAACGAUGUUAAGAUAGUAGAUGGUCCACACCGUAGAAUACAGGGUGAUUGAGGGAGUUGACUUCUCGGAGACACCUCCUGAUCAUGAUACCAGUAUUUUGGGUACGGGAGCAGACUUUCCUUUAGGAGAGAAACUCCUGAGCCUGUUAGACGGUGCAGACAUAGUCACAGGAAGUCGAUGAAAUAGAUGUAAUUUGUUGAAAGAAUUAAAUAGCUAAGAUGAGUCGAAAAUGGAUUAAUGCUAAUAUGAUGCACAGUUGAUAAAGAUAAAGUUUCAAGAUCAUUGUUAAGUUGGAAAAGAAAAUUGAAACAUGAUAAUUUUGUUUGAAAUGUCAGAAUUUUAAAAUUAUUUAAGAAAACAAGAUAAACUUGAAGCUAAUAUUGAUUGUUAAACGUUAAGAAAGCAACAUGUUAAAAAUGACAAAGAUCAUGAAAUGUUAAUGGUUAAACAAAGAGUAGAAUGAGACAGAGAAAGAGUAUAAGUAUUAAGAGGGUAAAUGAGUAAUGAGUUUAAGGUACAAACUAACUUUCACCGAGUAAAAGUAGUUUCUUUUAGGGGGGGUGGGUGUAACCACUCUACCCACACUCUCCUCUCGUGCUCCCUCUGGGCACGAGCAGUGCAUCUAUGUGCACAAGGGGAAGAAGUGAUGAUGUGGCAUUGAAGGAGGAGUAAAGCUGGAGCCAUUUCUGUAAUAUAUAUUCUCGUGUACAAGGUAAAAUCUCGCCAGUAAUAAAUGGACCUUCCAAUUGUGA
Molecule: long non-coding RNA, 2139 nt
Organism: Folsomia candida
Lineage: Eukaryota; Metazoa; Arthropoda; Collembola; Entomobryomorpha; Isotomidae
Exons: 3
Source: RefSeq, a predicted model, not a curated record